UCGGGCACCGCACCGAAGGAUG
This 22-nucleotide microRNA is filed under the name Marek's disease virus serotype 2 MDV2. RNAcentral describes it as "mdv2-miR-M26-3p". Its record names the gene mdv2-miR-M26-3p. The record is from miRBase by way of RNAcentral. Lineage: Duplodnaviria; Heunggongvirae; Peploviricota; Herviviricetes; Herpesvirales; Orthoherpesviridae.